Cinara cedri is the source of this 19844-nucleotide non-coding RNA. NCBI's taxonomy places the organism in Eukaryota, Metazoa, Arthropoda, Insecta, Hemiptera, Aphididae. The record is from the annotation of a GenBank genome assembly.
GGUUUUUGUUCGUGCAGCAGAUCCGCGUGUUGUCGGGCCGGCACCACCACCGUCAAGUGAGCUAAAUGUGUAAGCCCUAUUAUUAUAAUAAAUAACUGGUAUCUAUAUGCAUGUAUGUGUAUUAUACACACACUUAAAGAGAUUACUUAAACCGUAUGCACGGCCGUAGUUAUAUCCGCAUCGUGAUAUAUAUGUAUAUACGUAUAGUAAUUCGCAUUGUACUACGAGUAGGUAUAAAAAUAUUAUAAUCUACACGAUAUUGUAUUCGUAUUAUAUUGUAGCGCAUAAUGUAGGCAUUGUUUUUAUAUUUAACAAUUAACGCGCGAUCGCGCCAUUGUCUUUUGGUAAAUAAUUUACUAUAUAUUCUGGGUCGGGCCGACCCGAUGUACUCUAGACCAGCAAUAGCCGGUGAGACCGUAUUGCAAUGUAUGCGAGGCGCCGUUUUCGAUACACGCAAAGCAGCCCAUUUCUUUUUACAUUGUAUAUUUUUUUUUUUAAUUAGCGUAAAGAAAAUGUACGACGUUUAACGCGAAGUACAACAUAGCGCGAUUUCCUCAGAAGAGGUUAAUUUAAGUCAAUUUGAUUUCUGUUUUUUUUUUUUUUUAACCAUUAUGGAAUCGGUUAAGCUUUAUUUUAAAAUCGUUUUUAAUUUGUUACCCCUACUCCAUACACUUUAAAUAUAAGUAUACACUUUUCUUUUUAGAACAAAAACACUUAUUUUUGAACACAUAUUUUAAUAGAAAAUAUUUUUUUUAGAACUUUUAAUAUGCAUAACACUAUAUAUAGCUAUAUAAUAUCAAAUUUACUGUUUAUAAUGAGUUAUAACCGUUUAAUGUUUAGACUGAGGUAGUAUAGAGUGCAACCAUGCAAUUUAUUACCCUCCCCUACUCCUCCAGUCAAAACCUAUACCUAUUUAUGGUAUAUGGAGUAGGGGCAAAAAAUUUAAAACGGUUUUAAAAUAAAGCUUUAACCGAUACCAUAAUGAUUAAAAAAAAAAAAAACAGAAACCAAAUUCACUUAAAAUCCUCUGAGAAAAUUGCUGGUAUAUGAUCACCCUAUUUAUAUUAUACUAUAGUAUAUUACGAGUAUAAUAUGUUAUUUGUAAUAUAUUAACUGUUCCGUUCAGCUUUUCCCAUGCACUGCAGUAUUAAACGGUCCAGUGUUUUCUGAGGUUUGCCAUUACCGUAAAUACAUUGAAUUUCACAUUUAACGCGUGGAAUGCAUAGUUCUUAUCUUAUCAAAACUGUUUUACCAUCCGCAAACAUACAUAUAAAAAUAUUCGAUUUUCGUGGGCCGAAAUGAAAUUCAUGCGUGCGUGACCCGCCUUGUAGUAUCAGCUUUUAUGGGUUGAAAAACAAAGCUACAAACCCUCCAUGAGUCUGAAGGAAUAUAUAUAGCAUAUGCGCAAAAUCGAUACCAAUUAUUGGGUCGGUUGUUUUUGAGCUUGUUGAUCACGAACGAACGAACGAACAAACCAACGUUUAUUAUUAUUAUGUAGCAAUAAUGUAUUAUUUCGCAUAUGACGUAAAAAAAAAAAAAUAACAAGCAGCAAUCUCAAUCUAACAAUAGUCAUAAAUAUGUACUAACUGUAAUUAUAUGUAAUACAAAUUUAUAUUUUAUAAUUACUACGACAAUUAUUGAUCGAUUCUGAGCGUUUAGAAAACUGUACAUAUUGAGUAUAUAUUGAAAUGUAUAUACUCAUAUUUUCUUAAAUUUAAGCCAUUUCCGCAGUAAAAUUCAAAAAUAAUAAAAGUUGAUAUAAUACUGGCUCUCGGGUAUUAUAGACCACUGUUUUAUAUGUGUAUAUAGUUGGAAACAUAAAAUUUUUAAGUCAGUUUAUAGUUUAUACGCAACGAUAAACUAUUAAAAACAAAAAAAAAACGAUUCUGAGCGAAGAAGUAUAAAUUAUAAUAGCAGCUAUAGCAGUAUUAUUGGUUGUUUUUGACCAGUGCGUAGCCAAGGUAACUUAGAAAUGAAAACAAAAAUAAAAACAGAUGUAUCGAUAUUUUGUUGUUAGUUUUUUGAAUUUCACGUUGGUUUCCAGUUUUGUUCUCUAGUUCAGCGUUUCUCAAAUUGUGAGUCACGACCCACUGGUGAGUCCCGAGUCAAUUAUUGAUGCGUCGCAAAAAUUGUUUUGAAUUUUAAAGAUUUCAAGAAAUUUAAUUUUUCUAAGCGGAGCGAGACAUGUAUUGGUUUCAUAACGAUGUUUAUUUUUUUUAUUUGUAAACAACUUUUCUAUCAGCAAUAUUUUGCUAAGAUUUUCACACCGUAGCAGUUUUUCUGAAAGGAAAUCCGACUGGUGUGGUACUUUAGGGAGGUCGCCUUUUGAUUUUAGUUGAAAGAUAUAGAUUACGCAUAAUUAAUAGUAGUUAUUUAAUGUUGAUUGCAAACGCACCGCAAAUAAACAAUCGUGUUUUGUUAUGAAAUUAGAACUCGCAAUAAAUUUUUUUGUGCGUGAUAAAAUAAUAACGCUCGUGAGUAUAAUGCAAAUAGAUAAUAUUAUAGGUUAUCUAUUCUACCUAUAAUUAUUACAAAUUAAAUUAUAAUACAAAUUAAUUUAUAAUAUUUAAAUACUAAACAAUUAAUGUAUAUUUCUGUAUUGUGUUUUAAUUAAGCAGAUAUACAAUUUAUUUGCAAAUUAUGAAACUGGAUUGAAAAAUAACUCUUUUAUAAAUACAUACAAAAUCAAUAUAAUCACAUUUGUAUACAAUUUAAAAAUACUUAAAUUGAUGUAUGGUGUUUAUUUUACUAUAUAUUUUACUCUGACAAUAUAUUUACUUUUUAACCUUAUAUAUUUAUCGUUUUCAUUUUCAAUAUUUAUUUUCAUGGAUAAAUCAUUUAAAACAAUUUUUUUGAAAAGCUUAUCAGUUAGAUUAAAAUGUAUAGUUGAUAAUGUACGGUUUUCUAAUUCUUUUUCGCUUAUUACAGAACAUUGUGAUUCUAUUGGGUCGACUAUAAAUAUUUUUUGUUCUUCAAUAAUCUUAUUAACAAUUAUUGGAAAAAAAUAUCUAGAAUAUUUAAUGGAGAAUUUUAUUUCUUGCAAGUAAUUUUCAUAUUUGAAACAACUGAAACUGUCUAAUAGAUCAUGCAUUUUAACAAACAUAGGACAAACAUCAAUAAAUAAUAAACAUCAACAUAAUGUUCCUCCUAAACAAUUAAAGAACUAUUUUUAAGGAACAACUAUAUGUCAUCACGGUAAUGUGAAUUAGCAAUGUUUUUGUUGGAACACAAUUUCAACAUAGCGGCAAUGAUUUGCAAUGAUUUUGUCAUUCAUUGCAGAUUGCAGGGUCUUCAUUACACACAAAAUUAAAAAAAACGUACAAGAUUUCUGCUGCAAUAGUUUAGUACAAUAAUAUAGGUACCUAAAUAAUUAUCGUGUACAGUGUAUUGUGAACAAUAUUUUACUAACAUAAUAGAAGCUGGUAAAUGGUUUCCAUGUUUAAUUUAUACAAAAACAGUAACUAUACGGCACGUAUUUUAUAGUGUACUUACAAACGCACACACGCACACACACAGCAUGUACCUAAUAUCCGCGUUAAGUAAACCAGUAAACGAGCGGUAUUUAUAGGAUUACAUAUUAUUAUAGAUAGUACGGAAUGCGUGAGGGAUGGGGAAGCAACCCUACAUAACCGCAUUCAGUUGGCUCCCCUAUUCAAAUUCAUAUUUUAUUUAGCGUAUAAUUUGAUUAUCAUACAUAUAUUGGUAUACAAUAUAAUAUACGAUGUUAUCAGGGCUCGGAGUUUUUAGUACUUAAAAUCCACAAAAAAGCCUCGAAAAAAGCGCUUAAAGAUAUUUAAAAAAGCAUAAAACGUUAGAGGGGUUAAAUGUCCCCUUUCUAAUGGCUCUAACUUAUAAUAAAUACAAUUUCUAACAUUAGAAAAAUGUUAAUUUAUACAAGUUUGUAGAGCCGUUAGAUGGAAAUCUUUUAAAACUCUACAAUUUUUGCUUUUUUUUAAAUAUUUUUUAGGGCUUUUAAUGUUUUUAAGCGAUUUUUUUGUGAAUUUAAAGUGCUAAUAAUCCUUAGCACCAGCUGGUUAUAUUAUGUAUUAUUUUCUCAUUUUAUACAGCGUGCAUUAUAGUAUUAUAAUGCUAUAUGAUUUAAUCAUAUUUUUUUUCUUUAUAAUUAUACUUAAUCCAUAUAAUACGACUGUUAUAAUUAUAUUAACUGCUGAUAUGAUAUAUGGUUAUAUAUUAUAAUUGUUAUCGUUUUGCUACCGAUCUAUUAAGACAUCUGCAUAUUAUAUUGAAACUAUCGCCCAUAAUCAAGUACCAAUACACAGUAUAUUUUAAAAUAACAAAUAAUAUACCUACAUACUUAUAACCUAUUACUUAAUAACUAACGUGUCGUACGAUAAAACCUACGCAAAUACGGAUAUACAGUAUAAGAUACUCAUUGUAAUAAUAAGUAUAUAAGUAUUAAAUAAGAUGAUAAAUCGCACGAUGUAAGUAUGAUUGUUAUAUUACAAACAUUUUAUAUUUUAUUGCAAAUAAAAUUGCAUAGAAAAAGAGGGGAACCUUGAAUAUUUGCGGAACGAACAUAUAAUGUAUAUUUAUUUCAUUAUUUAUAUAAUAUAAAUUAGGUAUACCUAUACACAAUCACUAUAUGAGAUCAGUCAAUUUUAGUUUAUAUAGAAGUGCAAUAUAUAAAUAUAUUUGAUAUAGUUUGAUACGUAAAAAAGCUAUCCUAGGAUAAUGAGGACGGGUGCAGCCACUGUUGUUGUUGAGAAGUUGGGAAGGUAGGAUAUAGAAGAGAAAUUACUAUAAUUGCUUAUUAAAAACGAUUCUGAGCCGAUUUCAGUUUAUAAUUUUGCUUUUUCAACAAUACAAUAUAUGGUAUUAUGUCAUAUUAUGGUAAAAUGAUAAAAACAAUGUGCGUUUACAUGACAACAAUGAUUGUUUAAAAAAUAUUAAAAUAAUAAAACCUCAAUAAUAACAAAAAAUAAAUAAAAACGGUUUCCACUGAUAACCUUAUUUCAAAUCGUUCAAUCUUUUUUAACCUAAAGAACCAGGUUUUCCUAUUUAUCUCGAAUACUAAUGGAAAUUUCAAAAAAAUACCUCUUUUCCAGAGAACACCAUCCAGAGAACAUUUCCUUUCAGAAAAGGCUUUUUGGUAGAAAAAAAUGUUUGCAUAAAAAAAAAAAUAUAAUAACAAAUAUCAUUGUAAAACUAAUACAUUCAUCGCUCCGCUCAGAAUCUAAAAACAAAAUUAAUUAUUCAUAAUAUGCGUAUGCAAUUCAUAUACCCUAACAGCACGAGGAUGUAUAUAUGGGCUGUAAAUUAGAUCCCUACAAUCAUCCUGUAUGUAUCCUAUGAUUUUAGUAAAACCAUGCGCUAUAUAUCCCAGGACUUCCCAAAGCAUCCAUAGAACAUCCUUCAAUGAUCCUCAUGUCCAAAAUUUUGCUUAUAAAAACCUUCGGAAUGUCCCACAUAGGAUUAAGAAUAUUGAUUCUCAUCGCAUCCUAUUCGUAAACUAUAAAUAUCCAGCUAGUAACCUGGGUGCUUCCUAUAUAUAUCCAGUUAAUUGCCUGAGUUAGUCCCAAGUAUUUUCAUUAAAUUCAUAGAAUACAAUAAAAUUUAAAUUAUUCGUCUAUAAUUGAAAAUAUAGUUCACAUAAUGUAUUUUAUAACAGAAUAAUUUUUAGGUUUUCAAUAAAAUAAAAUAAAUCAAUUAAUAGAAAAAAAACAACACAAGAGCUUUAUUAAUUGAAAUGUUACAAAACAAUUAUUAUUUAUCGCGUAUUUUUAAUUUAUUUGUUUUAAAACGAUUUCAAAAUUCAUCAUUUGGCAUAUCGUUAAAGCGUUCUGAGGUAAGCCUGAUUUACUAUUAUGUUGCUUCUUUUUUUUCGCACAUUCGUAGUCGCAAUCUAUAUCAGUUUCUUUUUCUGCUCUCUUCAUAUCAAAUUUGCAAUUAUCAAAUUGAUCUAUGAAACAUAAUUAAAUAUUUUAUUUCAUAUUAUUUAUGCAAUUUUUUUGUUAUUAUUAAAAAGUAUUUUUAUAUAUGAAUGAGUCAAUAAUAGAUAUAAUUCGACUAUAAUAUAUUUACAUAACCUAGAAAAAAAAAUUACUUAUUGUAGUUUUUUUGUAAUUUGUACGAAAUUAAUUUGUUAUUAAUUCAUUUUAUUUUAUAAUACCUAUAUAAAAUAGUAUUAUAUAUUUAUAUACAAUGUAGUGAUUGCACCCGUCCUCAUAAUCCUAGGACGUUUUUUUUCAAUUACUUAUUUUAUUUGUCGCAUGUAAUUUUCAAAUCAAAACGAACUAAUACUAUCCAAACGUCCGUGUAAUUCUACAUCAUUAGCAAUAUUAAUCCAGUAUAUUAUGAGAGAUAUAGAGUGUUGGCCAUAAAUAAUAUUGAAAUAAGUAACAAAAUAUUUCAAUAAUUCUCUAGCACAAUUCAAUGUUUCACAAAACUGUUAUAGCUACAUGUUAUGAUAAAAAAUUAAGGUAUAUUUUAGAUAAUAAAAAUGGUUUUAAAACAACUGCAGGUCCCGUAUACAUUAAGAAUUGUCUAAAAUCAAUAUCUUUCCAUACUUUAAAGUUUAUUAAAAACUUAUUUUUUACUAAAACCAGUCAAAUUCAAAUUUGUUUAAUUAUUUAAUUAAUUAUUAAUUUACUCACAUUUUACUGAGGGGGGAGGCAAACAAAAUUCUAGGGACAUUCAAUACAUUCAGGGAUAUUCGUAAUUGCUAUGCAAAUAAAGCCGACGACCGUGGUCUUCCUUUGCCUUUUGAACCCGUUUGCCUCCUUUUAUUUCCGGUUUUUUCCAUUUGUUGAUUAAAAUCAUAGGAAAAUCGAAAAAAUUACCUUCCUAAAAGUACCUCCCCAGUCAGAUUUUCUUUUAGAAAAGUUGAAUAAAAAAUACAAUAAAAAAUCGGAGCAAGAUUUCUGGUAGAAAAGUUACGCACAGAUAAAAAAAAAAAGAAUAAACAUCUUUUUAAAGCCAUUAUAAGCCUCUUCCCUCCACUCAGAAUCUAAAAACUCAAUUCCAAUCUACCAUAUAUAAAUAUUAAAAUGAGAAUCUUUGAUGCCAAUUAUAUCGGAAACCGCAUUCAUCCGAUAGUCACGAUUUUUUUUUUUUAAUCAAAAGAGAAAUUAUAUAGAUAUGGUAUUAUAAUAAUAAUAAUAAUAAUAAUAAUAAUAAUAAUAAUUUUAAUUUUGAAUGGUCAACAAAAUUAAAAUUGGCAACUCUGGGUGGGAUAUAACUGGUAUAAUGGUAUAUAUAUAAAAUGGCUAUCUUGGAUUUUCGAUAAAUGAUUUUUUUUAUUUUUCGUUUUAAUAAAAAUAUAAAAUAGAGGAAUACUAAAACGCAGGAUCUAGAAACUAUUUUAUUACAAGAAUAAAAAACUUAAAAAUAUUUAAUAGAGCACAAAUUAUUUCCGGUGUCAAAUCUUUAUAUUACAAAUUCGUAUUAUAUAUUUGGUUUUAGGGAAGAAAAGAUUAAGGAUAAUUUUGUGUAGUUUUCAAUACAAUAGCAAAUAUAAUUUUGAAAAUUACUAAAUUGCAUGAUAUAUUAUUAUAUGGCAUGCCUUUUUUUCACCAAAAAGUACAUUAUAAUAAUUAAUAUAUAGUAACUUGAAACAUUUGAAACAAGAGUAAAAAUUAUAAAAGACACAAUUAUAAAUAAAAUAAUUUCAAAAAUUAACUUAAGCUUUUCUUGCUCGGAGAUCAAAAAAAAAUAUAUAUAUAUUAUAAUUAAACACUUGAAAAAUCAAUGGUACAAUAAUAAUGUCACUAUGAACACGCGUUAUACAACAUAUUUAUCAGGGAAAAAAAAAAUUCACCUUCAAAUAUAUUUGCUAUCUAAUGGCAUUUCAUUAUAUAAAUAUAAUUCCUGUAUUAUAAAUCCGCUACUGCAAAAAACCAAUGUCAGUAUAUUAAAUAUUGUAAUAGUGUUACGGGUAUGUGUAUAUUAGGUAUUUAUUUAAUAUUUUAAUAUGAUGGCAAAUGUUUGUAUAUAGAUAAAAUUGAACACGGAGUAUGAUAUAGGUACUCGAAAGAGAUUAUUUUUCGUAAUUGCCUAUAGGUAUAUAGGUACCUAUAAUCACACAGUUCGACGUCCUACAGAGAACUUCGAAGAACUCCAAAAAAAAAAAAAAAAUUAUAAUAAUAAUAAUCUAAAUAAAUAAUUCCUGCAAACAUAAUUGUGUAUACAUAUAAUACUAUAAUAUCUUGAUACUAAGUAAUUGCAGUAUAUAAUAUCAGAAAAUUGAUUUACAAAUAUAUAAAACAUAGCUUAGCUGUGCAAUUUAUUGUCGCUCUCAGCACCUAUUAUAAAUCUUUAAAUAAAUAUAUACAUAGGUACUGCACCUACAUAUUUGCAGUUUUCACUUGUUCUUGUCACGGUGUCAGUUUUAAUAGCAUACCUAAUUUAUACUUUUGAUAUGUACUCGUAUAUAUUUAUGUAUAUAUGUGUACGCUAACUGGAUUACCCGGCUUCCGCUGUGAACAGUUUUGUAACUCGAUUUUAUAUUCUGAGUGGAACGAAGAAGCUUAUAGUUUUACAUAGAUGUUUAUUUAUUAAUUUUUAUUUUUUUUUUUAUCUGUGCGCAACUUUUAUGCUGGAAGACUUGCUCAGAUUUUUAAAUUAUAGGUAUUAGUAAAUUGUAUUACGGUUUUUUUUUUUUUUUUUUUGAUAGCAAUUUUUCUGAAAAGAAAAUUUACUGAGAAGGUACUUUAGAGAGGUCAUUUUCGAUUUUCCUAAAUGAUUUCCAGCAAAUGUAAAAAACCGGGAUAAAACAUGGCAAAACCAGGAAAAACUUGGGGAAAAUGGGAAAAUUUGGUACAACAUUAAACAAAUAUUAUUAAAGAAAAUAUAAUAAAAUCUGUUUAAUUAUUUUACUAUAAAACGACAUAUAUUGUUAACAAAGUAUCAUUAUAAACUGAACUCUGCUCAGAAUCGUUUUUUUUUUGUAAGCAUUGUUUUAAUGUUGUUUACAGGUUAGAUUAGGAUACAUUAAAUUAUCCAUAACAGUGGCUUCACCCGUUCCCAUUAUACGGAUAUAAUAACUAUACUUUCUUCUUACUUACUUCUUUAAUAUCAAUUAUUUACCAAACAAAAUAAUUAAACUGUACAGUUCUGUGGGUAUUUUUCGGUCUACUCUCAAUAAAUUUAUAAUGAAAUAACGAAAUUUAGUCGAAAAGUGGAACACACAAACAAUAUACAAUAAACUAUAUUGUGUAUAUACAUAUGUAACUGUCAACAACCCAUCCUAACGCCACUACAUUAAGAUAGUAUAAUAAUGUACCUAUACUAUUAUAAUUUUUUUUAUAUAUAAAUUAACAGAAAUCCAUAUUACAAUUUAUAUAUUUUGGACUUGUGGGCUUAUAGCUGUAACUGUAACUGUCCUGACUCUACAUUGCCCGUGUGUUGUAACAACCUAACCUAUAUAAACCAAUCAGGAACACUCAUAUACGUUAAGAAAUAACUUUUCAAUUUUUAUACUUUUUACCCUUUUUAACAUUCUUAGGUGUUAAAUUUUGAAAAAUAUUUUCUUAGCGGAUCCCUACAUCAUAAAACGAAACUACUGACCAAAUUUCAUAUUCAUAACUUCAGCGGUUCCGACUAAACGAUAAUGAAUCAGUCAGUCAGUUAGGACUACUGUAUGUUAUUUUUAUAUAUAAAUAAACUUUGCAUAACUAACAGGCUAAAGAAAAAAUAGACGCGUUUGAGAAAUUCAAUAAAAUGUGUUCACCUACUCAGGGCAAAUAACUUGAUUUCUAACGAACUUAGCAAGUAUAGCGAGAAUAACGUUAAGGGGCUAAUAAAUAUGGUACGGCCAUUCGAUCUCUAUGAAUAUUUUAUAAUCGGGCACUCCUCUGAGGGAGUUAAAUAACAAACAACAAAGUAAAUUAGUUUAGGGAUUCCAGAUUUGUUUAUCUUAAAUACUGAGCAUUUCAAAUCAUAAUUAAAACUGGCAGAUGGUACAACAAACAAUAGAGGGGAGAGGGUGAUAAAACUAGGCCAAAAAUAGUCUGUAACUCAAAAGUUAUCCAAUCAAAUUGACUAAUUUAUUUUCAGAUAAUUUUUUUAUACCUAAAAUAACGUUGAUACCCAAAUGGCAUGCAUUAAAAUAGUUAAAAAUUGAAUUAGUUACUUCGUAAUUUGUCUAAAGAGAUAUUAUACUAAAGAUUCGUGAUAUCAUACGGCAGCUAUUAGCGGCUGCUGCUAGCCGUGCUAAUGCUAGCCGAUGUAGUAAACAAAGAAACGAAAAAGUUUUUAUCUUAUUAAUAAUUAUAAUGAUAAAUCUAUAUUUAUUUAAUGUAAAUAUAUUUUGAAGAUAUAACUAUUUGACAUACCUAGAUAUAAUUCUCAAUAGACUAUAAAUAUUAUAAAGCAUGAACUACGAAUGUAUAAAUAUAAGAACUACGAGUAUGUACAAUAAUUCGAGAUAGCGGAUGUCAUUUUAUUGAUAAUAUCAAUUAAUUCAUUAAUUAUAUCACCAAUACUGUAUUGUAUUAAUAUAAGAGCUCAACAUCAUGAUGCAACAUCGUGUCGUUUACUUGUUAAAUUUACAAAAAAACUAAACUAAAGACACCCUGUAUAUGUAACCUAGGAUAUUUCGGCAAAGCCGUUUCAAGAAGUAAGUUAUUUCGGCGCGAAUUUUAAUUUGACAAAUGUGUACUAGGUACCUAUUUUACAAGUUGUCACUAUCAUUCGUUAUUAAAUUUAACUUAAUAAAAUAAUAUAAACAAUACUUUACAAAGAAAGUAUAAAUAUUGAAAAAUAUUUCAAAUAUAAUCACAAUUUUAAAUAAUAUUGUAUAUCAUCAUCCAUAAUUAAAAUAACAGUGUGGAUUUUAUGGUGCCAACUGCGAAAAUCGUGGAAUAGAAUGUUGAUAAGUACCAAAUAAUCGUAAAACUAAAUUUGCGAGAGGUCAAAUCGUUUACGGCCGGGUCAUUAUCGAACAAUACCUACCCAUAUAUGAUAAGGUCAAUAAGAGUCCGAAAAACGAUUAUAUUUAUGAAUACCUAUACGCAUAUUAUUUAAAUACUCUACUAACUAUAUAUAAUAAAAAUAAUAAUAACCGUUGUUCUGGAUUCCAGAGUCUAGAAAGGUAAUCAAAAAAGACCAUAUGACUGUAUAGUGAUGCCUUUAAAAACAACAGAAUAUUCUACAAAAUUAAAGUCUUAUUUGAUACUAUACGUCAUUUAAAUACAAUCAUUCUUUCACAAAGUAUUCAAAAAAAAUGUUUUGGCAAUUUAAGAAACAAUAAGCAGCUCUAAAAUGUUACAUUAGGUACCAACUAUUAUAUUUGUCACCCAUAUUUUUGGGGGUGAAACGACUACUUAUUUUUGAUUUUAAAAUGGCAACCAAUAUUUAAAAAUUCCUUAGGUGGAUGAAAUGUUAUAGUUUAAAUACAUGUUGAUAUUGAUAUUUUUGAUUUUCGUCAACUCGUUAGUGAGAAAUUCAACUUUUAAGUUUAAGUAAGGGGUGAGUAGUGGAACAUUAUAUCCAAACGCUGUACACCAUGCCACCUGCAAACAAAUUAAUUUUAUUUAUUUUUCUAAUUUAUUUUAGUAAUUCUCAGUAAUAUAUUCAUAUGUAACUAUAAAUGGUAGUAUAAACAAUACACAUUAUUUAUAUUGCAGUUUAUAUUAUGACCACAAGUAAAUAACUAUCUGUGAAACGAAUAGGUAUACUUACCAUAUGUCCCACAACACUCUCAAUUCCUUAUAUCUACACCGUUAUACAACAUACAUCUCUCUUUCUCUGGGUCUGACACGCGUGGCUUUUUCCCUUUGAGGAACCCAUUGUUCAAGACUUAAAGUAUAAUGAGACCGAUUAUAUUGUAUGAUUCGGAGUGUUGGAUGGUUGAUAAAAAAAAUAGAACAAUGAUUAAAUAUAGUGAAGAUGAGAAUGUUUAGGUGAGGAUGAGUGGAAUGACGAGAAAAUAUAGGAUCAGGAACGAGUACAUAUUAUGAAAGAUAGCAUAAUUGUGUGAAUUCGAUAGAAUUGAGUAGUUUGGGCAGGAAAGAAGAAUCGGAAGCAGUAAUAAUGGUAAUGAAAAUAGACGCAGGGGAAGAUGGGAAGAAGAAGAUCUAAAAAUAGGGGGUUAAAUACGAUUGAGAAUGAUACAAGGACAGCCGAUGUAUGCGAGGAUAUGUGGGAAAUCGGGACAAAGUAGAAAUUGAGGACGAGCGUGGUCGAUUCCAGAAUUCAGAUAAAGGGAAUAAAGGCGAAGGAAAAUAAAAAUAAGAUAUUAUGGUAUGAAGGGUACAUGAUAUUUCAAAAUAAAUGUUGGAGUAAAAAUUGUUAUAAUAGUUACCACCAUCGGAAAAUAAUAUAAUUCGUCUAAAGAAUAAGCGAAAGCAAGUGAAAGUAUAUGUAUAGAGAAAGUACAGCUUUCACUCCAUAUGUAUACCUACUAAUACCUACUAUAUUACCUAUAUGUAUACUAUUUUAUUUUCGACAAAUGGCUUUUUUUUGGUAACUGUAGUUUUUAAUCUAUAUCUAAUAAUAUUUAUGUGCACCUAUAUAUAAUACCAAUAUUAUAUAUGUCUAUUUAUUUAUAAAGAUAAAUUAUAACCGAAAGUAAAAAAGCAAUAAGGGGGGAGAGGGUUGGUGUAACAAUACCCAAAACCCCUCUUGGCCAAGUUUAAUUAAUUUAAUAUGACUAGAAAAUUAUUUUAAACAUUUUUAUGAUUUUUUUUUACUACGGAUUUAUAACAAUACAUUUAUAAAGUAUAUAACUUUUGAAUAUAUUUUAUGAUUGACUUGUAAUAAAAUAUAUUAUUGAAUUUAUUUCAUUUGUAUACAAUAAUGUCAAUUUUUUUUUAGUUUGAAGAUCAUACUGGCGCUUUGGUGUAUACGUGUACAUAUAUAUAAUAAAAAAUGAUGUAAUACAUUCCUAGGGCCGUAUAAUCGACGACAAGUGGUAACCACUUAAACCACAUUAUAAAGGUUUACUAAAAAAAUCAGUGGCAUCGUUUCAAGUUUUUUUUUUCACACUAUAUGCAAAUAAUUUCAAAAUCAAUAGAAAAAAUAAACUUGACAAUAUAUUAUAACCUUUUAUUUCCAAUAGUCACGACUAUUCGACAAUUAAAAAAAUAAUUUAAAACUGCACACACUAUCGUUGCAAUUCACUUCAAUAUAAUAACAUUUUUACUCGAAAUGUGUUUUAAAUUCUCAACUCAGCAGGAAUUUGUUGGUUUUACUGUGCUAUAUGUUUUUUUUUAUUUUUUUUUUCUGUCUAUAAACUACUCUUCUACUAGAAAUCUUAGUUCAAUUAAAUAAAUGAGACAAGAAAACUUUUUUGUUUCAUUUCGGAACUAUAUGGUUAGCGUUUAUGAUUUUCCAAGCAGAUUUUAUAAUAAUUGGGAAAACUCAGAAAAAAAAAAACAUAAAAGAAAAACUGAACAACUUACGAUGUUAACGAUUUCAUUAUUUAAAACUAUUUGGUUAUGUUUUUUUAUUAGAAAGGUUGACCAUAUUUGCCUCAUUUUGUGUAAAUACAUACAUAGCUUCUGAAUACGAUAACAUUUAAAAAUUGCAUACAAACAGAUAAAUUUUAAAAUAACUCAAAAAACAUUAGAAUGUUUUACCACUUAUAUAUUUAGAUAACAUUCGGUGUAAAAAUUAAGUUUUUGUUUGAUAUUUUUUAUGUGAAUUAUAUAAAAUAAAAAGAAGAGCUGAUACAUUGGAAACAGGUACGCCACUGUUAUAAAUCGAACAUUGGGAAGGCAGGUUACAUAAAAUCCUGUAUUUAAUUUAUGUCUAUAAGCGACGACAAACCAUUGCUAAAAAAAAACAAUUCAGAACGAAGUUCGGUUAUAAAUGCUUUGAAAUGCCGUUAUAUUUACGGUUAUCGUCAAAAUUUAAUAUUAAAACUCUUAUGAAAAAAAUAAAAAUACUAUAUUUACUCAAUUUUUUUUUUUACUACGAUGUUAAAUUUAAAGCAUUUUCGUUUGGUCAAACAACUUUAUCCAUAGAAUACCUACAAAAAAAAAUUACGUAAAAAAUACAUAUUAUUAAAAUCGAUUAUAGAUACUGCAACACGCAUGCAGUAUUUAUAUAUUAUACUUUCGUCGUAUAAAUUCAAGUUAUAAUAUCAAUUUUCUGCAAAUACAAACUGCAUAAUCUGUAAUAUAAAAAAAGUUUCAAUUAAAAAAAUAAAACCCGAUAUCGUGUAAAUACAUUUUUCAUAUUAUCUACAGGUCAUUAACGUGACACGUCCAUCAUUGUUAAUUGCGAUUCAUAAAAAUCAUAACUAUGGGUAUGAUGUACCUAUAAUUUUAUAUUAUUAUAACACACCGGUGUUUUGGAGUGUUUAAGUGGGACGUUUUUUGUGAUUUUAACAUCAUCAUCAUCAUCAUGACUAUACAAAUUCACCGUGAUGAAUAUUAUUAAUAUUAAUUAUUUGAAUGUUUCACACGAUUUCGUGUCUAUGUGUAGUUGUAGUUGCGUUUCUUUAUUAUAGGUACACGUCGUCGCAUAAAUUAUACACUUGUUAUGUAAUAGGUUUAAUAUUUUACAUAUUCAAAUUAAUUUUACGAGUUUAAACGAGUAACUGCCAAUUUUGGAAUCACCUAUAUUAUAUUAGAUAAUUCGAAAUCAAACAAUGUAUGCAACACAAUGAUAGUAUAAUUUUAAGACAACCGUAAUUUUUUAUAUUUUCUAUGUUAGAUUUCUUGAAAAUUGUCAACAUUCUUUUAUUUUUUUUUUAAACGUCUAGUUUUGGACGAACGAACACGGUAAAUUAUACUUUUACUUUUAAGAGUAUCGAUAUAACAUGCAAAUAUUAUUAUUUUCUUUCGAUUUAUAUAAUAACCGAGACAAUACAUACAAUACAUUCUAACAAUACACACAUGGAACUUAUACACAUAAUUAUCAAUUGUUUAAUACAUAAUAUAAUGUAUAGAUAACCCAAUAUCUUAUUAUAAAUGCAUAAAGGGUAUAAAAAAACAUUAUCAAUUUUAAAAAAUAUCGAUAUCUAUGGAGAAAUCGUUUAUAUAUUUUCCCUAGUGGCUAAUUAAUAAUCAUUUAAAUAUAUUCAUAUUUUAUUUUUUUCAUCACCAUUAGAUCAUUUAUCAUCAUCAUAUGAUCUCAAGACUUCCUAUACCUACGUAGUCUAUCAAUAGACUCUUGGGUAAGAAUAAUUGUAGUGGUCACUACUCACUAUCACUGCAUGCAGUUCUCUAAUAAUAAUCUCGGUCUUGGAUAUUUCGCUAGAAUUCUGUCACUUCCAACCUCUUUAUAAACUAUAAAUUAUAAUCCUUAUGAACCUUGCAGUCCAUUCACCAUGUAUUUCGGCAAUUACCUCUUUAUCCCUCUAACCUCCAUCGAAUUGCUGCUCUAAUAGUUACUUUCCUUAUGUUUCGUCUUAUUGCUUGGCGUCGUCUUUGUCUCUUUACAUAACUUGCCAUAUUUUAUUAUAACACCCAAAAGGGCAUAUUGAUUGAUCUAUACACAAUAUACAAUAUACACAUACAAUUAAUUUGAUUUGUUCAAAUAAAUACAUACUAAUAUUAUUAUUAUUAUUACUAUUCAUAUACCUAAUUAAUAUUGGCAAAUUUUCCCCGAAAAUAGAGAAUGGCGCACUAUAUUGUGUUUAUUGUAAAUAGUAUAUACUAUAUACAAUAAUAAUAUAUUUUUUCCUCGAUAUUUUUGAGUACUUUUAGCGGCUCCUUCCAAGUCAAAUAAGCUCAAUCUCGAAUAUUAAAAUCGUUAAUAAAUGGAUUGGAUUGAUACAUUUUUGGUUGAAUUCCACUGGAGGCGUUUAAAAUCUGACAACUAAACCCUCGACAAGGUCAAAACACCAAUAGUAAAUAUCCUGUUAGUUAAAUGCUUAAAUUUAAUAUUUUCAAUAUUUUCAAAAGGAAAUGCAGAGUUUUAUAUACCCUUCAGACUUAUCAAAUAAUCAAAGUAACGGGAACAAAAUAAAAUAUUAAAACGACAACAAUUCGACUAGAAGAAACUUUAUCUCAAGUUCUGCUGCUCACGAGCGUUUUAGAUUUAGAACAUAGCAAAAAAAUGGGUUUACUUUAAGAUGUGAUUUUUUAUUUUUAUGUAUGUAAACAACUUUUCUACCAAACAUGUAGUUGUAAUGUAGUCUUUUUUUUUUUAUAUAUAUAUACGUGAAAAUUCUACAAAUUGUGGCAUUUCAAAACUUGUGUAACCGAGCUUCGCAAAGAACUGUUUUUUUUUUAACAAUAAUGUUUUUCUUUGAAUACAGAUAUACAUUAAAUAAAUAAAGGUAUCCUAUACUUACUUUCCCAACAUUCCAAUUAUAACAGUAUCCCACCACUCAGCAGUAUCAACUCUUUUGUUGUUUGUAUACAUACUUUUUAAAGACAAUUUUUAACCUUCGAUUCCUCUAAAAUCUUAUCUCUGCAAAGUAGAUUCUUCUUCUCUUUUACUUCAACUAUCUAUAAAAUUCUCCCCCGUCAAACCCGCUCUUCUCCGCCGUUCAUACAUUCGUAGUCUUCUUUUAAUUAUUUUCCAAACUUUUCUAUUUUUCGACUUAUGUGUGCUGCUAACCCGUAGACCCUUCAUUUAACCUGUAGUUCUUUUUUUUUGCUUUGCUUAAUUUUAUGACGCUUGUAUUUUUUGGUCUUGUCCUGUAUAUAUUGCUAAAUAAAUAAAUAAAUUCAUAAAAAAUAUUUUAGUGAUUGAUUUUAUUAGAAUAAUUUUAUCAUCACAAUUAUACGUCUUAUACACAAUAUUAUACCGCUACAGUUAUGCAAAAAGUGACCUAGUGUAAAAAAUAAUCUAGUAUAAAAAAAUAUGCUUAAAUACCUUAUUUCAUCUCUUAUACAUAUAUGUACGAAAAACGUGUCCAAAUAGUAUAUCGUUUAGGAACCAUUUAAUACAUAAUAUUUGAUUAUGAUCAAAAUAGUACAAAAAUUAAAUCCUAAUUUUAAAUUUAAAAAAAUAAUUAUUUAUUUUAAAUUUUUAAAUAAUUUAGUAACUUUUCGCAUGGUGGUAACGAUAUACACCAAUAUUUAUAAGAAUGGGACACGGGACAAACCGCAGACUAAUAACCGUCAUAGAAAGUGAUGCGGUUAUAAGCUCUCUGCUGAUAUACUUGUCACUUUUGCGGACUAUACGAUAUAUGACAAUAUAACGUGUACCUAUUUUAUACAAACACCGACUUCUGUGUAUAUAUGGCUAUACAAUAUAGUGUCUACUUAUAAUCUUGUAUGAGUGGCGCGUGCAGUGAUUACUACGAUAAACAACGCGCGUGCGAUUACUGAUUAGUGUGUGUUCGCACAAUAUUUGCAGAUAUUGUGUUUACCGACGUAAACAUAAUAAUAUGUUCUAUACGUACCUACACACAUGGCCACCUUAUAAUAUAUAUGGGCUCAUUACGUCUGACAUUACUUCUAUCAGAGCCGUAACUAGAGAGGGGCGAGGAUUUAUACCCGGGCGGAACAUUUUCAGAGGCGUAUUUGUUUUUAAUAUUUAUUUACUGAUAGAUAAUUCUGUAAUUUAGUAUCUCAGUGAACGUUAUUGGAGAGCGUGUACAUUUUACAUUUUACAAAUAAAAAGGUCUGAAGAGGCGUAUAGUAAUAUUUUUAACUCUGAACUAUUUAUAUAGUUCCGCCACCAAUUGCACUAUAUUUUAUCACGAAUAUAAGAUUACAACACAUUCGAUUAUAUGAAAUUUUAUCAAAUACAUUUAUUUGAAAGGAAUAUGGUAAGUAUUUCAUUAUAGAGUUCAAGUUUUACCUAUGCACGUAUCUAGUGGUAAAGAUCUUGGAACUCUACAUAAGCCGAUAUUUUUAAAUAUAAAUCAGCACUUACUUUGAUAUGGAUAGUCUGCGGUCAAUUGUAGACUAAAAGUUUUUCAUUGUUUUGAUUUAUGAAACUCACGCCCUUACAAAAUUGACAUUAUAAAGUAAAGUCAAAUCAGUCCAGAAGCAAAUUUUUAUCUGGGAUAAUAUCCUACUAUAUUUUUACUGGGUGCAAAUACAUUUUAGAAUAUUUUAAUUUAGGUUUAAUAUUUUAGAGUAUAUUGUUAAUUCAACAACAAUAUUCUCUUAAAAUUCCACCCCUUAGUCAAAUAUAUAUUUGCUGGACAUUGUCUUUUCUAAGCAUAUAGAAUAUAUUAUUAGAACAAUAAAUAGUAGUUAAAAAAUUGACAAUUUGUCUUGUUUAGUUUUAACGACUUGUUCACGUAUUUUUUUUAGUGGAACAAGUUGAGCAGAAUAAGAAAGUAUUUGGAACGUGUAUCAUCACCUUUGUGAGUAAGUAUUUUCAGAUCCUUUUCAUAAGCACUGCCAUUUUCGAAUUUCAAUACCAAUCCUUGACAGUAUUAUAUACUUUUUUUAUGUUAACAUUUUGUACAACCUUCAAGACACGAGAAAAUAAAAUUUUUCUACUCACAUGCCAAAGAAAAGUUUUUCCAGUACGUGCAUUAACAAAUUAUGAUCAAAUAUAAUUUUCGUUGACACAAAAUUACGUAUUAUUUUUUGUAUAAUUUUUUACAGAAAAAACAACUUUUAUACAACUUUCUAAACAUAAGAUAUUGUAUGAUAGAAAUCAGAUACUUAACAUGCAUGUAAGAUAAAAAUCUUACAUGCAUGUUAAGUAUAACUGUGGUAAAUUUUUACCUUACACGAGUGGUCACGGGUUAUAGAAAUAAAUUCACAAAUAUCAUAUUUCCAAGUACGAACGUUGCACCUUUAUUACCAAUCUAAUGAUAAUAGUAAAUAUUAGUACCUGCAUUAAUCAUAUAUGAAAAAUAUUAAAAAUAUUACCAGAGAUGCGAAUUUUCCUAGUUUUAUGAGCUAAAAAUUAAAUGAUUGUUUUCUUUUUAUGCCAUUAAAUUAUGAAAAAUAAACAGACACGGGGCCCCUCUGAUCAUAUAAUUUGCACGAAAUACCCUCCCUUUAGCGCCAUCACUGGUUAUUAUUUUAUACUGAAAAAUUGAGAUUAUAUAAUCCCAAUUUAUUAUCAGCGCGAAUUCGUUUGUUCCACUCAAUUGAACGCCACCGCAGCGUUCACAUAAUAUAAUAACUUAAAAGUAUUCUGGUAUCCGUUUCAGUACCUAUAGGAUACAUUUCCCAUUUGUGAUCAGUGUAAAAUAUAAACUGUGCACAAGUUGAUGUCUUAUUGUAUUACUCUUGUAGUCGUUAAGAUAUCAAUGUAUUUAUGAAGCGUUGUCUCAGUGGUCUUACACGGCACUCGAAAACUAUUCGGACGAUCGGUUUCGCGUGUUGAGCAUUGAAUAGUGUACAAAAUUUUUACUUCGUAUAAUGAGUUAUAAAAAUAAAUUUGAUAAUACUAGUGCAGGAGAAACGCGUUUUUCAAGCAUUCACAUAAGAAAAGCUGUGCUUUCUUUUGUUUGGAUGAUUGUACAAAAUUUGUUUGUCCGUACAAAUUGUACAUAAUACUGUGUCAACGAAAAUUAUAUCUAAUCGAAAUUGGACAAAGCACCAAUAAAAUAACGUUCAAAUACUUAAAAAUUAGAAGUAAUUAAUACUAAUAUAUCUGAACAUUUUUACUAAAAUACUUUAUGACACUGCCUAUUUCUACUAACGAGUAUAAAAUAUAUUUGAUGUUUUUCAGCUGGAUUGCCGAUGCGAAAAGUUAUAACAUUGACUAAAUCACCUAUACAUUAUAUUAUGUUCAGUAAAGAAAAAAAAAAGAAAAAUUGUUGUAAAGUGAUACUUUCAGAACCAUCGCAACUAAAAUAAUGGUACCGGAAACAAAAUAUUAUAAUGUAUAUAUUACAAACGUUAUACGAGUAUAUUAUGAAAAAAGGACGGGCAUACUUUACACGUGGGUGCAGCCACUGUUGUUGGUGAAAAAUUGGUAAGGCAGAUUACAGACGGGAAUUUAAUGUAUAUCUGUAAGCAAAGAUAAACCAUUGCUAACGAAAAAACGAUUUUGAGCCGAGUACAGUU